This 497-nucleotide ribosomal RNA is filed under the name uncultured bacterium. Its description in RNAcentral is "partial 16S ribosomal RNA". It matches the Rfam family "Bacterial small subunit ribosomal RNA", at positions 28 to 507 of the family's 1533-position model. The record is from RNAcentral.
GAUGAACGCUGGCGGCGUGCCUAAUACAUGCCAGUCGAGCGAACAGACGAGGAGCUUGCUCCUCUGACGUUAGCGGCGGACGUGUGAGUAACACGUGUAUAAUCUACCUAUAAUACUGGGAUAACUUCGGGAAACCGGAGCUAAUACCGGAUAAUAUAUUGAACCGCAUGGUUCAAUAGCGAAAGAAGGUUUUGCUGUCUCUUAUAGAUGGAUCCGCGCCGGGUGAGCUAGUUGGUAAGGUAACCGGGUAUCAAGGCAACGAUGCGUAGCCGUCCUGAGAGGGUGAUCGGCCUCAGGGGAAGUGAGCCUCGGGCGAGGAACCUAAGGGAGGGGCCAGUAGGGGAAAUGACGCAAUUGGGGAAAACCUGACGGAACGAGGGCGGGUGAGUGAUGAAGGUCUUCGGAUCGUAAAACUCUGUUAUUAGGGAAGAACAAAUGUGUAUGUAACUAUGCACGUCUUGACGGUACCUAAUCAAAAAGCCACGGCUAACUACGUG